This 401-nucleotide long non-coding RNA is filed under the name Mus musculus (house mouse). RNAcentral's name for it is "long non-coding RNA chrX:103489516-103489917". Lineage: Eukaryota; Metazoa; Chordata; Mammalia; Rodentia; Muridae. The record is from RNAcentral.
AUGGCCGAGGAAGGCAUAGCUGCUGGAGGUGUAAUGGACGUCAACACUGCUCUACAAGAGGUGCUCAAGACCGCCCUCAUCCAGGAUGGCCUAGCACGUGGCAUACUCGAAGCUGCCAAAGCCUUAGUUAGACAAGCGCCAAGCCCAUCUCUGUGUGCUCGCAUCCAACUGUGAUGAGCCCAUGUAUGUCAAGCUGGUGGAGGCACUUUGUGCUGAGCACCAAAUCAACCUGAUAAAGGUUGAUGACAACAAGAAACUAGGGGAAUGGGUAGGCCUCUGUAGAAUCGAUCGAGAGGGGAAACCACGGAAGGUGGUCGGUUGCUGUUGCGUAGUGGUUAAGGACUAUGGCAAAGAAUCUUAGGCCAAGGAUGAUAUCGAGGAAUACUCCAAAUUCAAUAAAU